This 1079-nucleotide long non-coding RNA is filed under the name Marmota monax (woodchuck). The record is from RNAcentral. Lineage: Eukaryota; Metazoa; Chordata; Mammalia; Rodentia; Sciuridae.
CACAGGCUUCAUUUAGGGUGGGACAGGAGGGUAGUUCCUAAGGUUCAUUGUACUGGGGUGAGCUGAUCCAUUAGCACCAACUGGAGAGUGGACCGUGACUUUCCUGAGGCUUAUUGUUUUGGGGCCACCUGGCCCAUGGGGAGUGGGGCCGGUGCCAGGCAGGCCCAAGUUCCUUGGUGCUCCUUCCUUCUGGCUGAGGCCUGGGGUUUUAAAUGACAAAAGCUUCAGUUUUAGCCCAGGGCAGGUGGGGUAACAGCCGCAGGAAAGGGAGGUGUUCUUGGGACUUAAUUCUCCAUAUCUUUCAGAUGAUACUUGUAUUUUUGUAGUGCUGGCACUGCCUAUAAUCCCCACAGUGCGGGAGGCUGAGGCAGGAGGAUUGGAGUUCAAAACCAGCCUCAGCAAUUUAGCGAGGUUCUAAGCAACUCAGUGAGACUCUGUCUCACCAUGAAAUACAAAACAGUGAGAAACUGAUGUGACUCCAUUUUUGAGAAACCAGCCUCUACCUCAGAGCAAAGCCUGUCCAAGGAAGAGCGCAUGACCCUUGUUCUUGGAAAGACCCACAGAGCACUCCUAGGCACAUACCCACCCUGCUAAGUUGUUUAUCUACAAAUAACAGGAGAGAUCUGCUGCACCAGGUGCCCCUGACUCAGUCAGGCUGGGUGGGGACCCAUAGCAACCCCCUAGCAACCACCAAUCAGCAUGAGACAGGGAAAUACCUGGGAUGUCAGAUAACCCUCCCAGUAGUUUAUGGUGGUUGAUAACAUGUUGGGAAACCACGUAGUUCAGCACGUACUCACCUCGUGGCUUAAACCAAUCAGUUCAAACGAAUCCCCCUCUUGCACUGACCAAUCACCCCUACCCAACUUGUUCCCGCCAGUGAAUGUGCUAAUCAUGUUUUAGAGUUGUUAUUUUAUUUUCCCACAGUGUGUGAUGAUUUGCUAAGAGAUGCUAUGAUGUAAAUGAGGUCCCUGCCUUCCCCCAAAGAAUGUAUAAAACUGCUGCAAACCCUGGGCUCGGGCCUCUCAGCAUCACCAGUUGCUAUGUGUGCGUGUGGAGGACCGAGCUAGCUCGCAAUAAAC